RNAcentral lists this ribosomal RNA (336 nucleotides) under Triticum aestivum (bread wheat). RNAcentral's name for it is "partial small subunit ribosomal RNA". Lineage: Eukaryota; Viridiplantae; Streptophyta; Magnoliopsida; Poales; Poaceae. The record is from RNAcentral.
AUGAAUGAGAAGAAUUUUGCUUAUGUAGUGACUAGUAAAAUUUCUAUGCAUGUGCAUCAUGAGAAUAAUGCUUUGUGCGAUCAUUAUAUUGUUGAAUUCAUUCAUGAUGCCACUGAAAAUUAUUAUGAGGGAGGAAUAUUUGCCUGUAGGAAUUGCAAUAAUAUCAUGUUUCCUCUCUAUGUGUUCAAAGUUUUGAAGUUAUGCUUGCCUUACCUUCCUAUACUAGUUGAUUCUUGCUCCCAUAAGUUGUUUGCUCACAAAAUCUCUAUGCACAGGAAGAGGGUUAGACUUAAAUGUGAUAGUCAUAUUCUUCAUGAUGCUCCCAUUAUGUUUUAA